AAAAAUAAGAAAGAGUAAUCUCACCACACUGUAUAACCACCCUGUUGAAGAUUUAAAUGAUUCUUAAAUCUGAUUUGAAAGAUGUAGAAUUGUUGUUGUUUAGAUUUUAUAGAUUUUAGUUUAAUAUUAUAUUUUCAUAAAAAUUCUUGAUUGUGGGGUUAGUAUUGGAAUAUUUAGUUUAAAAUUGAAAUGUGGGGUGAACAAAGUAUUUGGUGGGGUGGCAAUAGCCGCACCCAAUAUUAAUUACAACAAUCAAUUUGAACAGAGGAGUGUUCAACUCCUCACGUGUGUUUGUUACGUGUGGUUCUCUUAUUUUUUUUAAUAUAGGUUUCUAAUCCGAAUCAAUGAUUGAUUGCAUCUCCCUUUAAUAUUACAAUUAAAACAUAUUCCUAGUCUUUUUUUUUUUAUCUUUUUAAUUAAUAUGUUUUCCUAAUCAAUCAAUUAUUGUGAUUGAUUUCUCGUACACCUCUAUAUAAACAGUUUUAGUCGCUUCUUUACGUAUUUCUUUUUGUUAUCCUUCAAUAAAUUUUUCCCUGUCGUCGACAACCUUCAUAAUUAAAAACUUGCAAUUAUGGAUGUUUUAGUUUUAUUUAAAAAGUAUCGUAAGAUAAAAGCAGCAGAAUAGUCGACUUCAUCUGAAGCUCCUCAAAAAUUUCAAAAUAUGAGCAAUCGUUGAGGACAAUUAUAAUUAUUUUACGGAGAUUUGUUAUUUUAUUUAGCUUUUGUUUUCAAAGUAUUCUAAUGAUUUAUAAGUUUUUAUAUUAUUCAAUAAAAAUUAUAUUUUUAUUUUGUGUGACAUUAUUGUUUAAAGGGCCAAUGAUAAAAGGGUACAGUUAGAUGUAAUAAAUGAUAACACAGUUAAUAAAUAUUCAUUGAUGAUAAAACAGUACCUCUAUUUAAAUCUCUUAAAGCGUUACCCAUGAAAAUAAAAAAAAUUACGAUCUAUGCCACUGUUCUCUUAAAGCGUUGCCCCUAAGAAUGAAAAUAACUACGAAUUAUGCCACUGACGCCGUUACCCCAUCCACGCCGUUACCCCCAUAUCUGAGUCCCCCC
Molecule: long non-coding RNA, 1053 nt
Filed under: Fragaria vesca (wild strawberry)
Lineage: Eukaryota; Viridiplantae; Streptophyta; Magnoliopsida; Rosales; Rosaceae
Description: long non-coding RNA (FVES_LNC004356)
Source: RNAcentral